Molecule: ribosomal RNA, 465 nt
Filed under: Vibrio parahaemolyticus
Lineage: Bacteria; Pseudomonadati; Pseudomonadota; Gammaproteobacteria; Vibrionales; Vibrionaceae
Description: bacterial SSU rRNA
Rfam family: Bacterial small subunit ribosomal RNA
Source: RNAcentral
CCUACGGGGGGCAGCAGUAGGGAAUCUUCCGCAAUGGGCGAAAGCCUGACGGAGCAACGCCGCGUGAGUGAAGAAGGAUUUCGGUUCGUAAAGCUCUGUUGUUAGGGAAGAAUGGAUAUGUAGUAACUAUACAUAUAAGAGACGGUACCUAACCAGAAAGCCACGGCUAACUACGUGCCAGCAGCCGCGGUAAUACGUAGGUGGCAAGCGUUGUCCGGAAUUAUUGGGCGUAAAGCGCGCGCAGGUGGUUUAAUAAGUCUGAUGUGAAAGCCCACGGCUCAACCGUGGAGGGUCAUUGGAAACUGUUAAACUUGAGUGCAGGAGAGAAAAGUGGAAUUCCUAGUGUAGCGGUGAAAUGCGUAGAGAUUAGGAGGAACACCAGUGGCGAAGGCGGCUUUUUGGCCUGUAACUGACACUGAGGCGCGAAAGCGUGGGGAGCAAACAGGAUUAGAUACCCGAGUAGUC